This 1263-nucleotide ribosomal RNA is filed under the name Triticum aestivum (bread wheat). RNAcentral's name for it is "partial small subunit ribosomal RNA". The record is from RNAcentral. Lineage: Eukaryota; Viridiplantae; Streptophyta; Magnoliopsida; Poales; Poaceae.
AUGGCGCAGCUCGGCUGGGUCGCCGGGUCGGUCACGCUUUUCCUCUUCGCCGUCGUCACGUACUACACCUCCGCGCUCCUCGCCGACUGCUACCGCUGCGACGACGCCGUCACCGGGAAGAGGAACUACACCUACAUGGAGGCCGUCGAGUCCUACCUAGGUAGCAGGCAGGUGUGGUUCUGUGGCCUCUGCCAGUACGUCAAUCUCGUUGGAACUGCAAUUGGGUACACCAUCACAGCAUCGAUCAGCGCCGCGGCUUUGUACAAGGCCGACUGCUUCCACAAGAACGGCCACUCUGCCGACUGCGGCGUGUACACCACCAUGUACAUGGCCGUGUUUGGGAUCUCCCAGGUCGUCUUCUCGCAGCUCCCCAACCUCCACGAGAUAGCCUGGCUGUCGAUCCUCGCCGCGGUCAUGUCCUUCUCCUACUCCGCGAUCGGCGUUGGCCUCGCCUUGGCACAGACCAUAUCAGGUCCUACUGGCAAGACAACAAUGGGCGGCACUGAAAUUGGGGUAGACGUCACUAAUUCAGCCCAGAAGAUAUGGUUGACGCUGCAAGCGCUCGGCAACAUUGCAUUCGCCUACUCAUACUCCAUGGUUCUCAUAGAAAUCCAGGACACGGUGAAGGCGCCUCCGGCCGAGAACAAGACGAUGAGGAGGGCAAACCUAUUGGGGGUCUCCACCACCACGGCCUUCUACAUGCUCUGCGGCUGCCUCGGCUAUGCCGCCUUCGGCAACGCGGCGCCGGGGAACAUGCUCACCGGGUUCGGCUUCUACGAGCCCUUCUGGCUCAUCGACUUCGCCAACAUCUGCAUCGUCGUGCACCUCAUCGGUGCCUACCAGCUGUACUGCCAGCCCAUCUACGCUGCCGUGGAGAAGUGGGCUGCGGCGCGGUGGCCGGGCUCAGACUUCGUGGUCCGCCAGUACCACCCCUUCGCCGGCGGCAAUUUCAGCGUCAGCAUGUUCAAGCUGGUGUGGAGAACGGCGUUCGUCGCCGUAAGCACGGUCCUUGCCAUUUUGAUGCCCUUCUUCAAUGCCAUCCUUGGCCUCCUUGGCGCGCUCGCGUUCUGGCCGCUCACGGUGUACUUCCCCGUGGAGAUGUACAAACGACAGAGCAAAGUGGAGAGGUUUUCCAAGAAGUGGGUGGUGCUGCAGAGCCUGAGCUUCACGUGCUUUGCAGUGACGGUGGCAGUGACCGUCGCUUCCGUGCAGGGGAUCACCCAAUCACUCAACAACUAUGUGCCAUUCAAGACGAAGCUGUGA